AUUGAACGCUGGCGGCGUGCCUAAUACAUGCAAGUAGGACGCAGUUGCGAACGGGUGAGUAACGCGUAGGUAACUACCUAUUAGAGGGGGAUAACUAUUGGAAACGAUAGCUAAUACCGCAUACUAGUAGAUGGACCUGCGUUGUAUUAGCUAGUAGGUAGGGUAAAGGCCUACCUAGGCAACGAUACAUAGCCGAACUGGGAGGGGGAGCGGAAAAACUGGGACCGAGACACGGCCCAGACUCCUAAGGGAGGCAGCAGGAGGGAAUCGUCGGCAAUGGGGGGAACCCUGACCGAGCAACGCCGAGUGAGUGAAGAAGGGGUUCGGAUCGUAAAGCUCUGUUGUUAAGGAAGCGGUACUUAACCAGAAAGGGACGGCUAACUACGUGCCAGCCGCCGCGGUAAUAC
This 407-nucleotide ribosomal RNA is filed under the name uncultured bacterium. RNAcentral's name for it is "partial 16S ribosomal RNA". It matches the Rfam family "Bacterial small subunit ribosomal RNA", at positions 29 to 526 of the family's 1533-position model. The record is from RNAcentral.